This 21-nucleotide non-coding RNA is filed under the name Arabidopsis thaliana (thale cress). The record is from RNAcentral. Lineage: Eukaryota; Viridiplantae; Streptophyta; Magnoliopsida; Brassicales; Brassicaceae.
AGGGCGGAUCUACGUAUGGCA